AGCCUCAACAACCUGAUUCAAGUUUCUUUCUACUAGUCAUUUAUUUUCCACUAAAAAACCAAUACAUUUGCAAGUUUAUUCCUCAGCAGCUAUGGCCACUGCCCCCUCCUCAGCCUGUGCUGCUCUUAGAACCAUUUCUUCCUCUGCUAAGCUUCCAACUACUGCUGCUUCUCAAAAGAUCCGAUCUUUAAAACUCCCUAACUCCCCCAUUUCUCAAUCUCUUAAACUUAGCACCUCCACUAACCCCACAUCAUUCUAUUGCAAGAGCCAGAGCAUCUCAACUGACUCCACAACCGGUAACAAAAUUAUAACUUCUUUUAUUACAUAAUAUAUAAUAUUAUGUCCAUCUAUCCAUCUAUUAUACUUACUAUUGCUUUCUCUUUUUUAUUGGGAAUUUUCUUGCUUUCAGCUAAAGUUCAAGAACUUAAUGUCUACGAGCUCAACGAGCGUGACCGUGGUAGCCCUGCUUAUCUUCGCUUGAGCCAAAAGACUGUAAAUUCCCUUGGAGAUCUCGUCCCCUUUAGCAACAAAGUACGCUCCUUUUUCGUUCUCACAAAAGGAGUAAAAAACGAAUCUUUUCUUAUAUUUUUAUUCUUAUGCUGAUUCUUGAUAUAAUAUUUCAGCUAUAUACCGGAGACCUAAAGAAGAGGAUUGGAAUAACGGCUGGACUCUGCAUUCUAAUCAAACACGAAGAGGAAAAGAAAGGGGAUCGUUAUGAAGCUAUUUACAGCUUCUACUUCGGCAAUUAUGGUCACAUCGCCGUUCAGGGAUCUUACUUGACUUACGAGGACAGUUAUCUUGCUGUUACCGGCGGAUCCGGUAUCUUUGCAGGGGUUUCUGGUCAAGUGAAAUUGCAGCAAAUCAUUUUCCCUUUCAAGCUAUUUUACACUUUUUACUUGAAGGGGAUUCCCGAUCUGCCGUCUGAGUUGCUGGUUACGGCGGUUCCUCCGUCGCCGACGGUGGAGCCAGCACCUGAAGCUAAAGCUUGUGAGGCUGGGGCUACUGUGAAAAAUUUCACCAAUUGAGUGGGGUGUUGAUGUGCAAGUUCGACUUUUCUUGGGGUCAUUUCCGGAAAUGAUGAAACUGUAGGAUAGAUAAUUAUUGUCCUCUAUAUUUUGCUUUUUUGGUAUCUUAAUUAUUGUAGUUUGUUUAACUAUUUUGUACUCCAUUAUGUAAUGCCCAAUCUUCAAUACUGGAUAUUUUUUUCCCCAAUGUAAGUUCAUCCUUUUCUCUUGACUUUAAGUUUUUCUUUAUUAU
Molecule: long non-coding RNA, 1257 nt
Filed under: Nicotiana benthamiana
Lineage: Eukaryota; Viridiplantae; Streptophyta; Magnoliopsida; Solanales; Solanaceae
Description: long non-coding RNA (NBEN_LNC040338)
Source: RNAcentral